This 161-nucleotide ribosomal RNA is filed under the name Eragrostis racemosa. Its description in RNAcentral is "5.8S ribosomal RNA". It matches the Rfam family "5.8S ribosomal RNA". From Rfam's summary of the family: 5.8S ribosomal RNA (5.8S rRNA) is a component of the large subunit of the eukaryotic ribosome. It is transcribed by RNA polymerase I as part of the 45S precursor that also contains 18S and 28S rRNA. The record is from RNAcentral. Lineage: Eukaryota; Viridiplantae; Streptophyta; Magnoliopsida; Poales; Poaceae.
CACAUGACUCUCGGCAACGGAUAUCUCGGCUCUCGCAUCGAUGAANNNNNNNNCAAAAUGCGAUACCUGGUGUGAAUUGCAGAAUCCCGCGAACCAUCGAGUUUUUGAACGCAAGUUGCGCCCGAGCCUUCUGGCCGAGGCACGUCUGCCUGGGCGUCACG